Molecule: ribosomal RNA, 251 nt
Filed under: uncultured bacterium
Lineage: Bacteria
Description: partial 16S ribosomal RNA
Rfam family: Bacterial small subunit ribosomal RNA
Source: RNAcentral
UACGUAGGGGGCUAGCGUUAUCCGGAAUUACUGGGCGUAAAGGGUGCGUAGGUGGUUUCUUAAGUCAGAGGUGAAAGGCUACGGCUCAACCGUAGUAAGCCUUUGAAACUGGGGAACUUGAGUGCAGGAGAGGAGAGUGGAAUUCCUAGUGUAGCGGUGAAAUGCGUAGAUAUUAGGAGGAACACCAGUUGCGAAGGCAGCUCUCUGGACUGUAACUAACACUGAGGCACGAAAGCGUGGGAGCAAACAGG